Molecule: ribosomal RNA, 341 nt
Filed under: Bacillus anthracis (anthrax bacterium)
Lineage: Bacteria; Bacillati; Bacillota; Bacilli; Caryophanales; Bacillaceae
Description: bacterial SSU rRNA
Rfam family: Bacterial small subunit ribosomal RNA
Source: RNAcentral
UUUUUAAGUCUGAUGUGAAAGCCCACGGCUCAACCGUGGAGGGUCAUUGGAAACUGGAAAACUUGAGUGCAGAAGAGGAAAGUGGAAUUCCAUGUGUAGCGGUGAAAUGCGCAGAGAUAUGGAGGAACACCAGUGGCGAAGGCGACUUUCUGGUCUGUAACUGACGCUGAUGUGCGAAAGCGUGGGGAUCAAACAGGAUUAGAUACCCUGGUAGUCCACGCCGUAAACGAUGAGUGCUAAGUGUUAGGGGGUUUCCGCCCCUUAGUGCUGCAGCUAACGCAUUAAGCACUCCGCCUGGGGAGUACGACCGCAAGGUUGAAACUCAAAGGAAUUGACGGGGA